This 407-nucleotide ribosomal RNA is filed under the name uncultured bacterium. RNAcentral describes it as "bacterial SSU rRNA". It matches the Rfam family "Bacterial small subunit ribosomal RNA", at positions 8 to 419 of the family's 1533-position model. The record is from RNAcentral.
AGAGUUUGAUCCUGGCUCAGAUUGAACGCUGGCGGCAUGCCUUACACAUGCAAGUCGAACGGCAGCGCGGGGCAACCUGGCGGCGAGUGGCGAACGGGUGAGUAAUAUAUCGGAACGUACCCUGGAGUGGGGGAUAACGUAGCGAAAGUUACGCUAAUACCGCAUACGAUCUAAGGAUGAAAGUGGGGGACCGCAAGACCUCAUGCUCCUGGAGCGGCCGAUAUCUGAUUAGCUAGUUGGCGGGGUAAAAGCCCACCAAGGCAACGAUCAGUAGCUGGUCUGAGAGGACGACCAGCCACACUGGAACUGAGACACGGUCCAGACUCCUACGGGAGGCAGCAGUGGGGAAUUUUGGACAAUGGGCGCAAGCCUGAUCCAGCAAUGCCGCGUGAGUGAAGAAGGCCUUC